This is a long non-coding RNA of Oncorhynchus tshawytscha (Chinook salmon), 401 nucleotides long. The record is from Ensembl. NCBI's taxonomy places the organism in Eukaryota, Metazoa, Chordata, Actinopteri, Salmoniformes, Salmonidae.
CCCGGCAUGUCAAAGCUGAGAACCUGAGGUCCCAGUCACCCGGCAUGUCAAAGCUGAGAACCUGAGGUCCCAGUCACCCGGCAUGUCAAAGCUGAGAACCUGAGGUCCCAGUCACCCGGCAUGUCAAAGCUGAGAAACUGAGGUCCCAGUCCCCCGGCAUGCCAAAGCUGAGAACCUGAGGUCCCAGUCACCCGGCAUGCCAAAGCUAAGAAUCUGAGGUCCCAGUCACCCGGCAUGAGAAACUGAGGUCCCAGUCACCCAGCAUGUCAAAGCUGAGAACCUGAGGUCCCAGUCACCCGGCAUGUCAAAGCUGAGAAACUGAGGUCCCAGUCACCCGGCACGAGAAACUGAGGUCCCGGUCACCCGGCAUGACAAAGCUGAGAAACUGAGGUCCCAGUCAC